GACGAACCGUGCGAACGUUGUUCGGAAUCACUGGGCGUAAAGCGACCGCAGGCGGCCUGACAAGUCGGAUGUGAAAGCCCUGGGCUCAACUCAGGAAUUGCAUUCGAAACUGGUAGGCUCGAGUACGGGAGAGGGGGGUGGAAUUCCUGGUGUAGGGGUGAAAUUCGUUGAUAUCAGGAGGAACACCGGCGGCGAAGGCGGCCCCCUGGCCCGCAACUGACGCUCAUGGUCGAAAGCGUGGGGAGCAAACAGG
Molecule: ribosomal RNA, 253 nt
Filed under: uncultured bacterium
Lineage: Bacteria
Description: partial 16S ribosomal RNA
Rfam family: Bacterial small subunit ribosomal RNA
Source: RNAcentral